CCCUGCUUCUGCUUUCUUAAGGGUCUCUCCCUGAGCUGUUGGUGCAACAUUCCUACCCACUUCAGGUCUGGUGCUGCCUGAUCCAAAUCACUUUUUGCCCAAAUAAACUCUUAAAGUGUUUAAUAUGCCUCAGUUUAUCUUUUGUCCAUGUGAAGAGAUAGUAUUACAUGUUUUCUCCACCUGAACUGUAAAACAGCCCUGUCUCUAUAGCGGUCAUGAUUUGCAAUAACUGUGGAAAGUGAAAGCUUGCCUCCGUGCAGGUCAUUAUUCAUCGUGUGAUUGUUGGUGAUCAGUGACCAUUAACACUAUUUUUCUCUUCUGAUGAAACUCAACUUAAAAUGAAUUUACUGAGGUAGCUCAAAUUGUUUUCCAGGCAAAAGCUACUUUCAUUGUUUUACCACAUCAUUUCCUGACAGUAGAACUUCUGGCGUGAGAAACAUCAGCUGCAUGAGCCCCUGCGGUGCUGGAAACACAAGUGCUUAGGACAGAACUCAGAACUCGCUCGCCGCCAAGCACAGCAUUGUUCAUAACUCAUUAUCCUGUCAUCCCUGUGACACUUUCUUGGUCCCCUCACCGCCAAGCAGCCAGGCUCUGCUUACCCUGGGCUGUGGGCAGAGUGAAGCCUCGGGCGACGUGCAAAGAGGGGAGAGUGAUUCUCCUGUGCUUGACCUGCAAGGGCGUCAGAACCGUGUGUUCAUCUCCUUGAGAAAGAAAUUGUAUCUUUCAUUCACCGUCAAAUGACCAGCACGAAGCACACUACCCCGAAAAUCGUACCAAUAAAGUUCACGUUUAUUGCUCUGCAUCUAACUUUAGCGUCCUGAGGUUUACUCUCCUCUGGGUGUUCUGCGUGCUUUCUCCUUCUGUAUCCCUUGCAUCUUGUCCUUCUGGAAUUGCACUGAGGUCACAGCCCUGUUCAGCUCUGCUCAUCCGUGGUGAUUCCUCUCAGCUCCUGUACCUUCUUGCCCUCUGCACGUCUGCACAAAGCCAGCACGUUGUGAGAUUGUGGUCCCCUCAGACGCUUACUCUAAACUGCUGGAAGCUUAUUCUAACCUGCUUAUCUGAAAUCUGACCUUUCCCAGCUUAAUUACAAUUUCAUUCAGUACAAACUUACUACAAUAAAACUUAGCUGCCCACAGGAAAGCUCAGUCUACUUGCAGACUCGGCUGUGUAAGUAGUGAAAUGCAGUUACAUAUAGUAUUUUAUUUUAUUUACUGUGUGUGGCUAUUGAAAAGCCAAAUAUUGGACAGUCCUUGAAAUCAUUUUAUAUGGUGAGAAGCUCCAAAAAAGGCAGAAAGCUGGGCCCUUCCUUUUUAUCCCAAAUGACCUUUGUUUUGAAUGCCUUUUGUCCUGUGUAAUCUGAUAUGAAACUAUUUUGCAACCAGUUAUUUCGAAUUUGGACUUGAUAUGUUUUAGAUAAAUAUAAAGCCGUCCAGUCUGAAACUACAACUUUUAUUAAUCAUUAAUUUCUAAAGUGUCAAAUCAAAAGGAAAAGCAUUUUAAAUAUCAGAACUGAAAAGCACAUGCCCAAAGAAUAAAAAUCCUUAAGUUAAGUAAAUGUAAUUUUGUGGCAACUCA
Molecule: long non-coding RNA, 1575 nt
Organism: Leptonychotes weddellii (Weddell seal)
Lineage: Eukaryota; Metazoa; Chordata; Mammalia; Carnivora; Phocidae
Source: RefSeq, a predicted model, not a curated record